RNAcentral lists this long non-coding RNA (751 nucleotides) under Triticum aestivum (bread wheat). RNAcentral's name for it is "long non-coding RNA (TAES_LNC003072)". Lineage: Eukaryota; Viridiplantae; Streptophyta; Magnoliopsida; Poales; Poaceae. The record is from RNAcentral.
CAAGCUUGAAGGGGAUGACCUAGAUGUUUUCAAGAAGAAUGUUGAGUCUGCCACGAAGUAUCUUCUUAGCAAGCUCAAGGACCUUCAGUUGUAAGUUCUCUCUUUGCCUUGCUCAAAAGUGCAGGCACUGUUUAUCAUUGAUCUGUCCAGACACGUUAGUACUUUAUUCUUACUUUGGUAUUUUAGAUGCUGGUAAUUUAUUCUAUUGAACUUAAAUCAGUGACGGGAUUUUUUUAUAUUUUGGGGAAGGUAGUAAUAAUCUAUCUAUUCAACUUGCGCAAGUUCUAAAACUGGUGUUUCAGCUUUGUUGGCGAGAGCAUGCAUGAUGAUGGCGGCGUGGUGUUCGCGUACUACAAGGAGGGAGCUGCUGAUCCAACUUUCCUGUACUUUGCACAUGGGCUGAAAGAGGUCAAGUGCUAAUGGCACAGUAUGCUAAAAUCUUUGGGGUCGUCAGUAUUUUUGCUCUGCUCUAUGUAUGGUUGUCAGUCGACUCUCCAAUGUUGGUGUCAGUAACUAUCAGAUGUUAAGUGUCUCGAAAACUUUCUGAUAAUUGUGGUAUUUGCUUUGUAAUGGUAAUCGUGAAAUUGGUGUGGUUGUGUUUUGGUCAAUGCCUCGGCUUUUACUCAAUAGUUGAAACAAGAGAUUUUGCCCUGUGAUUCUAUCAGAUUAUCUUGUGUCUUUUGUAACACAGCAAAUGAGCAAAGCAAAAUGAUCAAUCAUCGUUUGAUAAGAAUCAUUUGAAAUCAAGAAC